This 780-nucleotide ribosomal RNA is filed under the name uncultured Neocallimastigales. Its description in RNAcentral is "partial large subunit ribosomal RNA". It matches the Rfam family "Eukaryotic large subunit ribosomal RNA", at positions 23 to 621 of the family's 3401-position model. Lineage: Eukaryota; Fungi; Neocallimastigomycota; Neocallimastigomycetes; Neocallimastigales. The record is from RNAcentral.
AGAGAUGUGUGAUGACGCAUAUCAAUAAGCGGAGGAAAAGAAACUAACAAGGAUUCCCCUUAGUAACGGCGAGUGAAGCGGGAAGAGCUCAAAUUUGAAAUCUUCAAGGUACUACCUUGACGAAUUGUAGUUUAUAAGAAGUGUUUUCUGUUAGUGGAGGUGGCUAAAAGUUCUUUGGAAUAGGACAUCAUAGAGGGUGAGAAUCCCGUAUUUGGUCAUUCCUCCUAGCGUUGUGAUACACUUUCAACGAGUCGGAUUGUUUGGGAAUGCAGUCCAAAAUGGGUGGUAAAUUUCAUCUAAAGCUAAAUAUUGGCGAGAGACCGAUAGCGAACAAGUACCGUGAGGGAAAGAUGAAAAGAACUUUGAAAAGAGAGUUAAACAGUACGUGAAAUUGUCAAAAGGGAAGCGUUUGACACCAGUGUUGUUUUUCCGAAAAUCAAUUACGAAUGUUUUGUUUUUGAGGAGUUAUGACUUCAUCGGCUUGCUCCUUUCUUUAUGAAACUUUCUUAAUGCACUUUUCGGUUAACAAGUCAACAUCAAUUUCUUUUGUUGUAAAAGGGUAUGAGGAAGGUGGCUUUCUUUUCGGAGAAAGUGUUUAUAGCCUUGUGCCUCUGCAAUCGGAGAGAUUGAGGUCUGCAGCGUAGAUCCUUCGGGGUUAGAUACACUUUGUGCUAAGUUAUAGCUUUUCAUAGACAACUUGUUGACUAUGUUUAGUCUCGUAGACUUACUCGCUUAUGCUAUUUUACCUACGCUUAGGAUGUUGAACUCUAUCACACACAG